GGAGGGUUAUCGAAGCGGUCAUAACGAUGCGGUCUUGAAAACCGUGUGGGUGCAAUCCCACGUGGGUUCGAAUCCCACACCCUCCG
This 86-nucleotide transfer RNA is filed under the name Clostridia bacterium. RNAcentral's name for it is "tRNA-Ser". It matches the Rfam family "tRNA". From Rfam's summary of the family: Transfer RNA (tRNA) molecules are approximately 80 nucleotides in length. Their secondary structure includes four short double-helical elements and three loops (D, anti-codon, and T loops). Further hydrogen bonds mediate the characteristic L-shaped molecular structure. tRNAs have two regions of fundamental functional importance: the anti-codon, which is responsible for specific mRNA codon recognition, and the 3' end, to which the tRNAs corresponding amino acid is attached (by aminoacyl-tRNA synthetases). tRNAs cope with the degeneracy of the genetic code in two manners: having more than one tRNA (with a specific anti-codon) for a particular amino acid; and 'wobble' base-pairing, i.e. permitting non-standard base-pairing at the 3rd anti-codon position. The record is from RNAcentral. Lineage: Bacteria; Bacillati; Bacillota; Clostridia.